GAGACCUGUAUCCACAAUUGCUAACGACCAUUUAUGGGAUCGAGCACAUUGUGGAGACUGCUCUGGAAACAGGGAGGAAGGUGCAGGCUACGGUAGGUCUGUAUGCUCCGAAUCUCCUAGGCUACACGCGCGCGACAAUGGUAGGGACAAUGGGAUGCAACUCCGAAAGGAGAAGCUAAACCUCUAAACCCUAUCUCAGUUCAGAUUGAGGAUUGAAACUCAUCCUCAUGACGACGGAAUCCCUAGUAACCAGAGUUCAUCAUACUCUGGUGAAUAU
This 277-nucleotide ribosomal RNA is filed under the name uncultured archaeon. Its description in RNAcentral is "partial 16S rRNA". It matches the Rfam family "Archaeal small subunit ribosomal RNA", at positions 1047 to 1325 of the family's 1478-position model. The record is from RNAcentral.